RNAcentral lists this transfer-messenger RNA (350 nucleotides) under Oscillospiraceae. Its description in RNAcentral is "Pseudoscilispira sp018369915 Standard tmRNA". It matches the Rfam family "transfer-messenger RNA". Rfam says of the family: Bacterial tmRNA, also known as 10Sa RNA or SsrA, is named for its dual tRNA and mRNA-like properties. Its role is to liberate the mRNA from a stalled ribosome. The record is from RNAcentral. Lineage: Bacteria; Bacillati; Bacillota; Clostridia; Eubacteriales. RNAcentral also lists the same sequence under 4 other names.
GGGGGUGUACCGGUUUCGACGGGGGUAUUGAUAUGCGGUAAGCGGGCGGUGGCGCCUGGCCACCAUAAAACGGGCACCUUAAAAUUAAAGGACAACUCUACUGAGCUUGUCGCUGCCUAAGUAAAGGCAGCCGUCUGACCCGGAAGGACCGCGGUCCGGGAUUUCAGGCGUCGAUCAGCGGUGAACAUGAGUGCGCUAAGCUUUGCGCGCACCAUGCACAAUGAAGCUACUGAACCUGCAGGUUUGGCCUUUCACCUGCAGGGGAGGGAAUGACAAAGAAUGGCCUGCGCCCGGAGAAAGCCGCACGGAUGUGCUUUCGGACAGGGGUUCGACUCCCCUCACCUCCACCA